GUACCUACGGGACGCAGCAGUAGGGAAUCUUCCACAAUGGGCGAAAGCCUGAUGGAGCAACGCCGCGUGAAGGAAGAAGGCUUUCGGGUUGUAAACUUCUUUUGUCAGGGACGAAGCAAGUGACGGUACCUGACGAAUAAGCCACGGCUAACUACGUGCCAGCAGCCGCGGUAAUACGUAGGUGGCAAGCGUUAUCCGGAUUUACUGGGUGUAAAGGGCGUGUAGGCGGGACUGCAAGUCAGAUGUGAAAACCACGGGCUCAACCUGUGGCCUGCAUUUGAAACUGUAGUUCUUGAGUACUGGAG
Molecule: ribosomal RNA, 305 nt
Filed under: uncultured bacterium
Lineage: Bacteria
Description: bacterial SSU rRNA
Rfam family: Bacterial small subunit ribosomal RNA
Source: RNAcentral